UACGUAGGGCGCAAGCGUUGUCCGGAUUUAUUGGGCGUAAAGAGCUCGUAGGCGGUUUGUCGCGUCUUCCGUGAAAACUGGGGGCUUAACUUCCAGCUUGCGGUGGAUACGGGCUGACUGGAGUGCGGCAGGGGAGACUGGAAUUCCUGGUGUAGCGGUGAAAUGCGCAGAUAUCAGGAGGAACACCGAUUGCGAAGGCAGCUCGCUGGAACGUUACUGACGCUGAGACGCGAAAGCGUGGGGAGCAAACAGG
This 253-nucleotide ribosomal RNA is filed under the name uncultured bacterium. RNAcentral's name for it is "partial 16S ribosomal RNA". It matches the Rfam family "Bacterial small subunit ribosomal RNA", at positions 524 to 776 of the family's 1533-position model. The record is from RNAcentral.